This is an RNA transcript of Macrobrachium nipponense, 1830 nucleotides long. RefSeq lists it as uncharacterized. The transcript has 3 exons. The record is from RefSeq and is a predicted model, not a curated record. NCBI's taxonomy places the organism in Eukaryota, Metazoa, Arthropoda, Malacostraca, Decapoda, Palaemonidae.
CAGGGAACACUGAAAGACUAACAGAAAUUGUGAACAAAGAAAAAUGCGUCAGAGUCAACCUACAAAUUUUAGGUCUUCAGAAAGAGGAUAUGAACUUGCUUACAGAAACACUCAUUGGCCAUCUGGUGAAAGAUGACCAGACCCGAAAGGAACUGAAAAGUGACCUGCUUCGAAAAAUAGAUGAAAUGGACGAUAAAAUUAGGGUCAUCCUGCAGACACCACUGUUUUUCAACCUGUUUGUUCUUCUUCAUGUUGAAUGUCAGGAUCUGAGCAAUGAAAUGAGCAGCAGGGCAUCACUCUACCUGCAACUGAAGAAGCACAUGACUAAAAGAAUUUUUAACAAGACAGGAAUCUCAAGAGAAUCACUGGAGGAAUUUGAUGCUUUGUACAGAAAAUGGUCUCUGAAACACUAUAUUGAGAGAAAAUAUGAAUGGAAUGAGGAAGAUGUAAAAAGAUUUAAAUCAGAGAUAAAAUGUCAAGAGGUACUUGACAACUUUGAUGCCAUCAUGUCAUCCUACUUCAAUAUAAAACAUACGAAUAAGCUUCUUGAGAUUGGAACAGUAUUCUGCUACAGACACCGAAGCGAGCAGGAGUUUGCAGCUGCAGGCUCCAUCUGUGACGACAUCAUCGUUUCAAGCAGAAAGCAGCAAGGAGGGAACAUUUUCCUUGAAGUGUUGUUGUCAAAGGGAAUCUCAAAGCCUGAAAAUAGUGUGCCAAUGAAGUGUUUUCCAAACGCAACGACGGCGGAAUUCAUUGGCGCGAUUAUAAGGCAUUAUAUACCGGACUUCAGAGAAAUGCUUUCCUUCGUACCAGGAAUACUUCUCAGCACUGAAAAAAAUGUGCUGUACCAAAUCAUAGAUGACAUUCACGAUUUCUACGGAAAUUUCAAUGAAGUCAAGGAAUUAUGCGUUACGGAUGAUAUUUUGAUGCCGUAUGCUGAAACCAGACUGGAUGAAAAGGUUCUGGAAUCACUUGUUUCACGGUUCAGAAAAAUAGACGCGGGUGGGAGAAUUGAUUUAUGGCAAAAGGAUAAUUUUUUCGUCCUACCGUCCUUAUUGUCUAAACUGAGGCCCAAUGAAGUUGUGUUUCAGUAUGUACCGAGAAAUCUUGCAGAGCUCAACAAAACACUGCAGGUUACCAAUUAGCUCGGUAUCCGCACGGAGUUUGACAUAAUUAUGUCGGAAAGGCAAUUUCGAGAAAUUACAGGCCAGGUUUUGCAUCCAGUAGAUUACUUAGUUGUGAAUAUCGACAGUGAUGUGUCCAUAGACAAGGGCUACCUUCGUCCGUUUUCUCUGCAGAGUUCUGCCAGACGACUGAAAAUGUAUUACCAGCCCGGCACCAAUGACGUCGACCGCGUGGCCGAAGUCCUGAACAGGACGGUUCCUCCGAACCGCGCCGAUGACAGCACCGAAUUAACCGUCCGCUUUCCGGAACGUACGCAGCAUUUAAAAAAAAAAAAGAGUUGACAUAGGACGUCUGCUACAGUUGCUGACCGUCGGGCCUUUGAGGUCAAUAACUUUUGAGACAGGGCAGAAUAUUUACUUGAGCAAAUUUAAGAACCUGGAGAAACUCGCCGCAGCAAAGCGACUUGGACAAUUAAAGAUUCAUUAACUGAAAUUUUGUUUUCAGACUGAAAAAAAAAAAAUCACAGGAAUACAAUUUUUUUCAGACUUAAUAAAAUUCACAAGACAAAUUUUUCAGACCGAAAAAAAAUAAAUAAAUAGGAAGGGAAUUUUUUUUCAGGCCUUUCCUGAUUUAGUAAUUGGGUCUUUUGUAUUUCAUUGUAGCCGAUUUUUAUUACAAAGAAUAAUCGAGUUAACAGUCCCCCCA